AAUAAAUGUAGUUUUACACUAUUCACGUUUAAUGUUUGACCGUUCGUCUUAUUUGAAAAUUUUUUAUGAUUAGUAUUUUUAUUGAUAUUAGAUGAUAAAACAUGAAUAGUACUUUAUAUGUGACUAAAUAUUUUUAAAUUUUUCACAAAAUUUUCAAAUAAGACGGACGGUCAAAUAUUAUGUACGAAUAUCCACAGCUACACUUAUU
This is a non-coding RNA of Oryza nivara, 208 nucleotides long. The record is from Rfam. Lineage: Eukaryota; Viridiplantae; Streptophyta; Magnoliopsida; Poales; Poaceae.